This 1190-nucleotide unclassified non-coding RNA is filed under the name Hevea brasiliensis (rubber tree). Lineage: Eukaryota; Viridiplantae; Streptophyta; Magnoliopsida; Malpighiales; Euphorbiaceae. The record is from RNAcentral.
UCUUCAUUCACAUCCCUCUCCAGACUCUCCAGAUCAUCAUCUUCACGAGCAUAUUUAGCAUAAUCAUUAUGAAGAGUGCGCAUCAAAAUCAUAGACACUAAGCCAGUGAGGAAAAUAACCAUCAUGAAAGAAUUGAACACCGAGAACCAGUGGAUCUGGUGUUCAAAAAAGGGGUAAUCCAAGUAUACAUCAAACCGCCGUUCAUAAGUAAUAUUUGUCGGAACCCAUUUUACAGAGUAUGUCAUGCCUAAGAGUCUUCCUUCCUCCAGUGGCUUUGGGUUCUCUUGAGUUAGGUUGACAUGAAUGAUCUGGUCUUUAUUGUAUUGAAUAAGAAAAUUCUUGUGUGUGUAGAGCACAUGCUUGUUGUCUCGGUUUCUAUCAGGAAGCACUUCGCCCACGAAACCCCAUAAUGGCAAAUCGUCCAUGAAAAAUUCAAACCAAUAUGAACUUUCGAUAGCAUCCUUAAAUUGUGCCACUUUUGCUGCAUCCAAUACAAGUUCGCAGAUUGUGCUUUUCUCCACAUCUCUUUUGAACUUUAUGUCAAUUCGGCUAUCAAUAAGUUCAUUCCCACCAAGAACCUCGCCAAGGCCACCCCACUUGUGACCACCAUCACCAGGAUGACAGAACGGAAGGCUGUAAUAGUUGUACGUCUCUUGUGGAUUAUUAUAGGGUCCAACCUUAUUUACCCAAAGAGUGACAGGUUCAUCCGCUUGAUACUUUGCAAGAGAUGGGUAUGCAAGGAAUAGAGAGAAGAUAACGAAAAUGACGAGAGAUCGAGCAGUAGAGAGCAUUGCUAAACGGAUCUGAAAAUGAAAAAUCGAUUCUAGAAAACGUAUGUAUGGGUUUGUUGUACUUGUGUUUCAGAUUUUAUGAGCUCUCUUCUCUUUUACUCUCUUCUCUUUUUUUACCUACUUCUAUUCUUGACUCAUCUAUUUCUAUCUCCCUCUCCCUAUUUCUCUGUUUUAGUAAGUGUGCAGACUAAUAUGUAACAAAUUGGUAUCAGAGCUGUUAGAUUGGUGGGCAACUACUGAAAAUUUUUUCAUGGGAGUUGCAUCUAUGGCAGAUUACUCUUCUCAAAAUACCAGGUUUCUUCUAUUCUUCUCUCUUCUUCUCUUCUUCCCUCUAAUUCUUCUUCUUCUCUGAAAUUCCUUCCUUCUUUCCCUCUAUUCUUCUUCUUCUUCUUCUUCUUC